GGGUAGCCAAGCCAGGUCAAAGGCGCAGGGCUCAGGAUCCCGUAGGGGUUCGUGGGUUCAAAUCCCACCCC
Molecule: transfer RNA, 71 nt
Filed under: Nitrososphaeria archaeon
Lineage: Archaea; Thermoproteati; Nitrososphaerota; Nitrososphaeria
Description: tRNA-Leu
Rfam family: tRNA
About the family: Transfer RNA (tRNA) molecules are approximately 80 nucleotides in length. Their secondary structure includes four short double-helical elements and three loops (D, anti-codon, and T loops). Further hydrogen bonds mediate the characteristic L-shaped molecular structure. tRNAs have two regions of fundamental functional importance: the anti-codon, which is responsible for specific mRNA codon recognition, and the 3' end, to which the tRNAs corresponding amino acid is attached (by aminoacyl-tRNA synthetases). tRNAs cope with the degeneracy of the genetic code in two manners: having more than one tRNA (with a specific anti-codon) for a particular amino acid; and 'wobble' base-pairing, i.e. permitting non-standard base-pairing at the 3rd anti-codon position.
Source: RNAcentral